UACGUAGGGGGCUAGCGUUGUCCGGAAUCAUUGGGCGUAAAGCGCGUGUAGGCGGCCCGGUAAGUCCGCUGUGAAAGUCGGGGGCUCAACCCUCGGAUGCCGGUGGAUACUGUCGGGCUAGAGUGCGGAAGAGGCGAGUGGAAUUCCUGGUGUAGCGGUGAAAUGCGCAGAUAUCAGGAGGAACACCAAUGGCGUAGGCAGCUCGCUGGGACGGUACUGACGCUGAGGCGCGAAAGCGUGGGGAGCAAACAGG
RNAcentral lists this ribosomal RNA (253 nucleotides) under uncultured bacterium. RNAcentral describes it as "partial 16S ribosomal RNA". It matches the Rfam family "Bacterial small subunit ribosomal RNA", at positions 524 to 776 of the family's 1533-position model. The record is from RNAcentral.